AACCCUUGUGAGCCUGAGAUGGGGGCAUCAAAUCAUACGAGCAUCCCAGUGCUCUUGUUGAAGGGGCUUCUCAGGGGACAGAGGUGAAAUGGAACAGAUGUGGGAGACAAGGUGCCUUCCAGUAGUGGUUCAACACAGUUCUGCAAAACACGACACUCUUGAUAAGUUUAUCCUGUGAUAGAAGGAGAUGAAAACUCAGAAAUGACUGCUAGCCUGGACAAGUCCAAGUCUGUGAUUCGAGUGCCACAGCAAUCUAGUAAAAUUAUCUGGAGAGAAAAACCCUUGAUAUGCAGGUGAGGAGCAGCUGAUGUCUGAAGUCUGACAUGGCAAGAAAGUUCCAGAUUCUGGAAGAAGAAACUAAAUCCAUGAAAACAUAAGUGAGAGCACUACAACCAGAUUAAAACAAUAUGGACAAUUGAAAAAAGACUGAGAAUGUUCACAUACAUUGCUGGGGCCUGUGAGGAGAGUUAGGUCCCGUGUCUGCUGCAGUGCUGGUUGCAAAGAGCAGAGAGCCCGCAGCUCCCCUGGGAGAAGAAGGCAGGGGACAUGAUGUAGGGUCAGGGUGUGGAGACAAAGUUAAUGGCACGGAGAAGGGAUCAGGAGGAAGCUGCGCGGUCCAGUGGGCACUGAACAUUCAGGACCGGGAGAAAAUAUCAGUUCUACCCCAAGAUUGCUAAGAAGAGGGGAAAAGCCCACUGGAUAGGUCAUCAUAGAGGCGUCCACACUGAGAGUGUCACCUGAAAGAGCAGGUCAGAAUCUUAGGCAAGAGCAGAAGAAAGGACCGUACUUGGUUGAAAGACAGAAAUGGAGCAUCCUGUAUAUGAGCUGACCUGCACAGCACAGGUGGCAUGGUGUGUCAAAGCAGAUGACCUGGUGGCCCACGAAGAGGAAGGGCUGGCGACCUACAGAAAGCAAUUCAAAGAUCUUGGGGGAAAACUGGAAAGAAUAAUUUCUUCUUUUCAGAGACAGAUCCUGUCCCAGGAGGGAAGAGCUCAUGAUCACUGGUGGAAGCUUGGAGGAUGAAUAAAACCUCAUUAUUUCCAGAUGGGAGAUCACAGACCUGAAACAAAGAGAACUAAAAAGACAAUUUAUCUCAAGCCUCUUGUUUGUAAUUUUAAUUUUUAAUUUUUGUGGGUACAUAGUAGGUGUGUAUAUUUAUGGGGUACAUAUGGUAUUUUGGUACAGGCAUGCAAUAUGUAAUAAUCACAUCAUGGAAAAUUGGGUAUUAAUCCCCUCAAGCAUUUAUCCUUUGAAACUGCUGCUUCUUCUCCUCCUCCUUCUUCCUCUUCUUCUCCUCCUUCUCCUCCUUCUUCUCCUCCUCAUCUUCCUCCUGCUCCUUUCUUCUUCCCUCCUCCUCCUCCUCUCCUCCUCCUCCUCCUCUCCUCCUCCUCCUCCUUCUCCUCCUUCUCCUCCUCUUCUUUUUAAGGGCAGGGUCUUGCUCUGUCACCCAGGCUGGAGUACAGUGGUAUGAUCAUGGCUCACUGCAGCCUCAACCUCCUGGGCUCAAGCAAUUGUCCUGCCUCAGCCUCCCAGGUAGCUGGGACUACAGCACCUCAAGCUUCUUGAAGUGGAUCUUAAUGCAUUUGACAAUCCUGGUGGGGCAUUAGGCAGAGAGUAAAUACAUCCUGACCUCUGAGACCGAAGUGUCCCUCGUGCUUCUCCUCAGACCCUCCCCUUGGCUGCCAGGCUGUGUUCCCCUCCCCUCUCCUUCUCCUUCUCCCUCCUCCUCUGCCAUUCUCCAAUCCAGUGCUUCGUGUGCAUCCAAACGGAGAGGAGCGGUCUUGUUAAAGAGCACUCCCUCUUCCUCCACCUCCUCCAGGACUCUACGCACCCCGCAUCCCAGCUGGCUCCCCAGCAAGGGGUCUUAGGCCUCCUUUUUCUCCAUCACAGUCUGGGUUUUUCUGGCACACCUCUAUCCAGAAAAUGGAAGUGACUUACCUUUUGGUUUCCCUCAGCCUCCAUCUGACCCUAGCAGUAAAAAUCCUGAAACACUGCAAAGACAUCAAGUCAUUAGGUUUUGUCUUUUUUCCUUGAAAUAUUGUUGACUUCUAUAUAUUUAAUUUUAGGAUAGAUAGCUGUUUUUUUAUGCAAGUGAUUUUAUUUUCUCUCAUUUUGCUUCUUGAUACUAAUAUAAAUUUCAGGUUAGAUUUAGAAAAUAAAGAUCACUUGAAUACUCCUGUUACAUUAUACGCUCUAGAAAAUGUAAGUAGCAGAGUUUUAUCUGAUAAGUCAGUCUACAUGAUCAUAUAACAUCAUCCGUGAACAGUUUAUCCCAUGGGGACAUUGAAAGUAGAAAACACUUUUCCAUCUGUUAAUGUUUGUAUCUGCCGCUGUUACAGGAAAAGGGUGAAAAUGACUUGAUGGUCCCAGUAAAUUACAGUCGAAUUAAAGCAUGGUCAAGGUGUGGUGGUCAAACGCAGAAGGCAGUCUGUGGAGUGGGGAGUUCUGCAGGCUGGGGCCCCUCUGUCUGCUGUGCUCUCGCUGUGCAGGGCUCUGGAAGGGUGAGCCCAGCCACAGCUGCUCAGUGAGGAGGGAGACAGGCUCAGGCUGUGGCUCUUUAACUCCCCAGGAGACCUGGGCCACUGGGACCCCAGAAUCUUCAUUUGGAGCAACAGUUCUUCACAAAGCUGUCUGUAGGCUUCACAGACUGAUGCCCUUGGUAGCAUCUUGUGCCAGGCCUCAGGAUGGGCCUGGGUCCUUGCUUCUGGAGAAUAGAGUAUGGAGGUGGCUCCUGCCAGCCUGAGAUAGAGUCAAGUGUGUCUCCAGGGUUGUUGUAGUUACUGAGCAGAGUCUUGUGUCUGAGACCCAUAUGCAUUAGUCUGCUGGGGCUGCCAUAACAAAGGCCUGCAGACUGAGUGGCUUAAACAACAGACAUUUGUUUUCUCACAGUUCUGGAGGCUGGAGGUCCAACGUCCAGGUGUUGGUGUUGGCAGAGUUGGUUUCUCCUGAGGCCUCUUUCCUUGGCUUGCCUUCUCCCCUUGUCCUUACACGGCCUUCUCUCUGUGCAUGCAUCCCUGGUGUCUCUUUUUCUCCUUAUAAGGACCCCAGUCACCUAAUUCACCCUUACUUGUGUCUUGAAGGCCCUGUCUCCAAAUGCAGCCACAGAGGGGUUAGGGCUUCAGCAUCUCUGGGGACACAGUUCAGUCCGCAGCACCAUUCCUGUCCCACCCUACAGAACAACAGACUGGCUGUGAUUGGAGCCUGGUCCUGAGCCUCCACCAAGCUGUCCCAGUGUUCAGGGCAGUGUGCUCCAGUGCCUUUGGGGUCGGUCUGACCACAGUGUGUAUGGGCUCUGGAAAUGGGAGGUUGUGUGGCUCCUGCAGCCAUCAGUCAGAGAACGCAUGGCCGUUCAGGGCAGGCCGGCCUUAGUCACAGUCCCCACGGCUGCUCUGGUUGCUCCUCCUGCCCUGGUGACUUCCUUUUCUCAACUCCCUUAGGCACACAAAGACCCAUGCAUGCUUCCUCCCUCCUUCACCAAUGUCCCCAGGGAAGAUUAAAACAUAGGUCCACAUGAAUAUCUAAGUGGGUGAGACAAAGAAGUUCUUAUUGUGCUCUUAAUUUCAGCUUGGUCCAAGUUACAGCUGCUGUGAGUCUCAUCUAAUACAUACCUAUAGUCAUAUAUGUUAUAUAUAUUUAUACAUGCUCACAUGUGUGUGCAUGUGUGUGUGUACGUGUGUGUAUACAAACUUCCUCUUUAAAAUAUUCCUGGAUCAUUUUUAACUUCCUCUUACUUUAAAAUAUUCCUGGAUAUAUCAUUGCUUAAAGUACAUAAACUUGCAUGAAAUGAUUCAAUGUUUCCAAGAUUCUCAAAAGGUUAGAAAAGGAAAUAAAUGUCUCCCAUCUUUCCAAAAUCUAUCAUUAUAACUAGGCAAUGUCUAGAUGUGGCUUAGUUCCUGUAGCAACUUCCGGGAAUGAGCAAAGUGAUCGCCUCCGAGGUGGUGCAGUGGCCUGUGGAGUCUAAGAGUUUAUAGCUUGAAAACUGCUCCUGUAACAAAAGUUGUAUUCAUAUCUGAGAUGUUAAAAGGUGAAGAUUUUUGCACAUUUUCUUUGUUAUGAUAAAAUACCACUUUUGAGUUUGCCGAUCUCACCACUGUGAACAACGUUAGUUCUCCACAUACGAUGGCAUUUGCCAGCUGUGCCCUCAGAUUUCAUUGGCUCCGUGUCUGGGUGAGUGGGAAUCAUUUAUGUGGGAAAUUCUCCAUUACAGGACAGUUAAUGCACCAAUGGCAUCAUUGUGAGGUUGGAGAUUUGGGGUGAUGAUCUGGCUGCUUGGCACCUCCAGGCUGGCAGACAGCACGGCUGUGGCCAGGAGGUAGCAGCACUAAUCAGGGGCAGCAGUGAUGAGUCCAGGUGUUCCUAAUGAGAAUUUGAUGUGAAUGAAACACAUUACGUGGCGGUCCCAAUUCAGAAUGGUUGCACUUAUUAUAUUUCUAUAUGGAAGUGUUUAUUUAACACCACAUUUGUCGGAAAUUACACAUAUCUCAAAGCCUGUAUAGGAUCCAACUGUUAACAGGGAGAAGAACCACUUCUAGAAAGUUGUUUUGUUUUUACCAAAUCCUCUAAAAUCGAUCAUAUUUUAGAUAAAUUGUUUAUUUGAAAACUUUCCUCUAUGACCUAUAAUUGGGAUUGAGUCUGAACUGACAAUAAAUAUAAUUACAACUGUUCAGUAGGUUGAAAAUAGAAUUUAUUCCUUAGUUUUGGCUACUUUGCAUGAAAAUGCUAAUUGUAUUUGCAUAUAAAGGAAGACUAAUUACUAAGACCUGAACCUAAAAUUGUAUUUUCCUAUGUUUAGCAAGCUGAAUUGCUUAUUAACAUCAACAAAAAUGGAUGUUUC
RNAcentral lists this long non-coding RNA (4834 nucleotides) under Homo sapiens (human). RNAcentral describes it as "HSALNT0393062". Lineage: Eukaryota; Metazoa; Chordata; Mammalia; Primates; Hominidae. The record is from RNAcentral.